GAUGAACGCUGGCGGCGUGCCUAACACAUGCAAGUCGAGCGAACAGACGAGGAGCUUGUUCCUUUGACGUUAGCGGAGGACGGGUGUGUAACACGUGGAUAACCCACCUAUAUGUCUGGGAUAAUCUCGGGAAACCGGAUCUAAUACCGGAUAAUAUAUUGAACCGCAUGGUUCAAUAGUGAAAGACGGCUUUGCUGUCUCUUAUAGCUGCAUCCGCGCGGCAUUAGCUAGUUGGUAAGGUAACGGCUUACCAAGGGGACGAGGCGUAGCCGACCUGAGAGGGUGGUCGGCCACAUGGGAAGGUAGGCAGGGUCCAGACGCCUACGGGAGGCACCAGUAGGGAAUCUUCCGCAAUGGGCGAAAGCAUUACGGAGCAAGCCCGCGUGAGUGAUGAAGGUCUUCGGAGCGGAAAGCUCUGUUAUUGGGGAAGAACAGAUGUGGAAGGAACUGUGGACGUCUUGACGGUACCUAAUCAGAAAGCCACGGCUAACUACGUG
RNAcentral lists this ribosomal RNA (497 nucleotides) under uncultured bacterium. Its description in RNAcentral is "partial 16S ribosomal RNA". It matches the Rfam family "Bacterial small subunit ribosomal RNA", at positions 28 to 507 of the family's 1533-position model. The record is from RNAcentral.